Molecule: non-coding RNA, 675 nt
Organism: Lactuca sativa (garden lettuce)
Lineage: Eukaryota; Viridiplantae; Streptophyta; Magnoliopsida; Asterales; Asteraceae
Source: RefSeq, a predicted model, not a curated record
UUCAUCAGCUUCUUCUUCUCUCUCAAUUCCCUCUCUCACAGUUACAACAUCACCACCAUGGAUCACCUCUCCAACCCAUUCCUGCUAUUGUUUUCAAUCACCACAACCCCCUCCCUCGUCCUUUUUGGUCUUCCCUGUUGAAAUAAGCAAGAAAGAAACAUCAGAAGGCCACCGGAGUAGCCUCCUGCCACCACCGUUUCACCCUCCUGCCGGCAAUCACCCACCACCCAUUGCAACCUUCAAACACCCACUUCCACCACCGAAGAACUUCAUCCCUAAGCUGUCAUUGCUAUUAAUUUCGAUCCCCAAAAGCUUCUCCACAAUUCCUGCAUCGAAAUACUGGUAAAAGAAAGAAGAACGAAGGCAACAGCACCGAACUACCACCUCCGUCAGCCCCCCCGCCGGCCGCCUGUUGCAGCGACAACAACUGUCACCACUUCUGGCCUCCAUUUUCGCCACUGGAAAUCGGAUUUAUCCCGGAAAUCACGACCUCUCGGCAACACAUCUCGACUUUCAGAACUACUCGUUAACCACUCGAUAAGGAAAUCAGUGAAAUUUCGGGGACACUCAGACGAUGGAAAACAUGGCUCGCAAGUACUUUAAUUUUCUACUUUUGAACUGUUAUGCCUAACUGUUAAGGCAAACUCAUAUUAUUAUUAUAUUACUAUCUGUAAG